This 307-nucleotide unclassified non-coding RNA is filed under the name plant metagenome. RNAcentral describes it as "partial contains 5.8S ribosomal RNA, internal transcribed spacer 2, and large subunit ribosomal RNA". The stretch from base 1 to 105 matches the Rfam family "5.8S ribosomal RNA", at positions 50 to 154 of the family's 154-position model. The record is from RNAcentral.
GAAAUGCGAUAAGUAAUGUGAAUUGCAGAAUUCAGUGAAUCAUCGAAUCUUUGAACGCACAUUGCGCCCGCCAGCACUCUGGCGGGCAUGCCUGUUCGAGCGUCAUUUCAACCCUCAGAACCCCUUGCGGGAUCUGGCGUUGGGGAUUGGCAUCCAGCCAGCCCCGAAAUCUAGCGGCGGUCCCUCCGCGACCUCCCCUGUGCAGUAGCGAUACCUCGCAGCGGGACAGCGGUCUGACCACGCCGUAAAACCCCCAACUUCUCAAGGUUGACCUCGAAUCAGGUAGGAAUGCCCGCUGAACUUAAGC